This 339-nucleotide unclassified non-coding RNA is filed under the name soil metagenome. RNAcentral describes it as "partial contains 5.8S ribosomal RNA, internal transcribed spacer 2, and large subunit ribosomal RNA". The stretch from base 1 to 120 matches the Rfam family "5.8S ribosomal RNA", at positions 35 to 154 of the family's 154-position model. The record is from RNAcentral.
GAUGAAGAACGUAGCGAAAUGCGAUAGGUAAUGUGAAUUGCAGAAUUCAGUGAAUCAUCGAAUCUUUGAACGCACAUUGCGCCCCCUGGUAUUCCGGGGGGCAUGCCUGUCCGAGCGUCAUUGCUGCCCUCAAGCACGGCUUGUGUGUUGGGCUCCGUCCCCCCGGGGACGGGCCCGAAAGGCAGCGGCGGCACCGAGUCCGGUCCUCGAGCGUAUGGGGCUUUGUCACCCGCUCUGUAGGCCCGGCCGGCGCCAGCCGACAACCCAUCAUCCUUUUCAGGUUGACCUCGGAUCAGGUAGGGAUACCCGCUGAACUUAAGCAUAUCAAUAAGCGGAGGA